CUUUUUGUUGCCUCCUCGUUUUCCAGGAUACCUGGUAGGAAGCUAUUCAAAACAGCCCCUAUCAGAAUAGCAGCUUGAGUCAAACAAGAGCUAUGACUAUAGCUAAUUUUAAAUGUUCUAUCAUGUCUAUUGCAUUAAGUCCAGUAGAACAAUUUCACUAGCGUAAAUACAAAAUCAACUGGAAGAAAUAAAUCUUAAGCAGAAUGAUUGUUGCUUUGUAUCUUUUUAUUCCCACAUUCUACUGCCAGAAAAACCGCUAUCUUUUCAAGCCUAUUUGCACCUGAAAAGAAACUUUCUGACGAGGUGAGACAGUGUCUCCAAGAGCUGUAGUUUGAGAGUAUUCAUAAGAGAGUACCAGAAGUUACUUGGAUCUUGAAUUUGGUAAACAGCAGCUUUUCUUUGUCUCAUACAGAUAACUAUAUCAGUUUUUGUCAAUUUUAAAUACAAGGCCACCUAACUGCAGAAAUUGAGUUGAUUAUUAAAGUACUAAUGUCAAUAAGAAAAUAAGAAAAGCUUAAAGUUGCUGGAACUCCUAUUUUCUGCCACAAAGGUGGAAACAUAUUUCAUAAAGUAAACCAGCAGGAUAAGAUAAAGACAGUCGACAGCCACUAAAACAACAACAACUAAACUUCAAUCCCAAACAAGUUGAGGUCAGCUACAUGAAUAUUCACUUCUUUAUUUAAGCUCAAUUCAUAUAGCUCGAUGUUACAAAACCACCUCAAAGUUUGCUGCAACAGCGACAGCACGUACACCUCAAUUCCAACCUAGCUGAUGCAAUAUUUGUUGCAUUACUGCAAAAUGAGAAAUCAAAUGUUAGGAGAAAUUCAUACCAUAGUUUAUUGUUUCUUCUCAUGUAUCUGCAUUCCUACUUUUUCCACAGCAAUUAACUAGUCUGUUGAAGAAUGUAAUAGGUUGAAGUCUUGAAGAAUCAUUCUGAUACUACUAGUACAGCAGUUGCACCUGAUUAGAAUCAAAACUAUAUUUUAGAGUUUGGGCCUUAUGAGACGCCCAAUCUACUAGUAACUAACUAAAGUUUUUCAUCUAUAUAUUAAAAAAAAUUAUUUGGUAAAACUAAUAGUAAUAGAGUAGUAGCAUAAGCUAGUAAAAGUAGAAAUUUUUAAAACUAAUGCUAUGCUAAACAAAAGCCAAUGAAUGACUGCUUGAAAACCUAUAGUUGCAACUAGCAACUCAUAGUAACAUCCUUCUCUUCCUAAAGACAAAGAGAGGAGCCUACAGCAUAGAGAAUGAUGAGAUAACCCAGGUCGCGCACUGAAAUCAUUGUCAUAAUACACAUAUCAUUUUUCUCGUUCUACUCUACUUUACUUUGAAGAAGUUGGAGCUUCACAAACCCAUCAUACCACGUAAUUUAAAAACUGUAACAGCCAAAGCACAAAUAACAGAACAUCUCCAUAGCUCCUUCACACUUAAUCAAAUAUUACUUCAAAUUGUCUAAGUGCUGGAAACGUUUCUAGUUCAAAAACUAAAUAUAUGAAUAUAAGUCAUUGUUCAUGACAUUUCAAAAUAUGGAUUAUAGCUACAACCGUGCUUGUGGUCAAUCGAGGUGCGUGUAAGCUGGCGUUAGCAUCAUCCAAAAAGAAAUCCAGAUAUUGAUUGGUUCAGCUUGCGAAGUUACAAUUCAGCACUGGAAACAAUUGCAUUCAAAUAUUACUUUUCAUCCGAAGAACUUUGAACCAAAUUCUAAUUUUUCAAUUUACUUUCCAUAUAACUCCCUAAAUCCUUAGACACCCAUCAAACAAACAAGAAACAGUAAACCUGCCUUAUUAUGAAAGAUUCAAUCUUUAAGCUCAGAUAUACAUUUUAAAAGACAGACAAAAAUCACUAUGCAUAUUCGAUUAAAAAAAAAAAAGGAAACACAGAUUAGACUUGCUAACCGUAUUUCUGGAGGUUUUGAACGGAGACCCAAUUCACGGCUGGAGUGAAAAAGGAACGUAGCCAAGAUCCCAUUUGCAAUUAGAGCAUCUAUUGAUUUGUUCUUUUAGCCAUUUCUUCUCUUCGUUUCCCUCCACUUCUACGCCUUAGACUGGAAUCGUAGCAAUUUAACUAUCUGGUUGAAGAAGUUUAAGCUUGAGCCUUUGAGUUCCUUCUCUCUUGUAAAUUUAAUGUGAAUUUUGUUUACAAAUUCCUUUUUUU
Molecule: long non-coding RNA, 2151 nt
Filed under: Nicotiana tabacum (common tobacco)
Lineage: Eukaryota; Viridiplantae; Streptophyta; Magnoliopsida; Solanales; Solanaceae
Description: long non-coding RNA (NTAB_LNC018177)
Source: RNAcentral